RNAcentral lists this ribosomal RNA (570 nucleotides) under Alternaria alternata. RNAcentral's name for it is "eukaryotic LSU rRNA". The stretch from base 196 to 349 matches the Rfam family "5.8S ribosomal RNA". Lineage: Eukaryota; Fungi; Ascomycota; Dothideomycetes; Pleosporales; Pleosporaceae. The record is from RNAcentral.
UCCGUAGGUGAACCUGCGGAGGGAUCAUUACACAAAUAUGAAGGCGGGCUGGAACCUCUCGGGGUUACAGCCUUGCUGAAUUAUUCACCCUUGUCUUUUGCGUACUUCUUGUUUCCUUGGUGGGUUCGCCCACCACUAGGACAAACAUAAACCUUUUGUAAUUGCAAUCAGCGUCAGUAACAAAUUAAUAAUUACAACUUUCAACAACGGAUCUCUUGGUUCCGGCAUCGAUGAAGAACGCAGCGAAAUGCGAUAAGUAGUGUGAAUUGCAGAAUUCAGUGAAUCAUCGAAUCUUUGAACGCACAUUGCGCCCUUUGGUGUUCCAAAGGGCAUGCCUGUUCGAGCGUCAUUUGUACCCUCAAGCUUUGCUUGGUGUUGGGCGUCUUGUCUCUAGCUUUGCUGGAGACUCGCCUUAAAGUAAUUGGCAGCCGGCCUACUGGUUUCGGAGCGCAGCACAAGUCGCACUCUCUAUCAGCAAAGGUCUAGCAUCCAUUAAGCCUUUUUUUCAACUUUUGACCUCGGAUCAGGUAGGGAUACCCGCUGAACUUAAGCAUAUCAAUAAGCGGAGGA